RNAcentral lists this ribosomal RNA (780 nucleotides) under Limosilactobacillus fermentum. Its description in RNAcentral is "bacterial SSU rRNA". It matches the Rfam family "Bacterial small subunit ribosomal RNA", at positions 271 to 1042 of the family's 1533-position model. The record is from RNAcentral. Lineage: Bacteria; Bacillati; Bacillota; Bacilli; Lactobacillales; Lactobacillaceae.
AGGCGAUGAUGCAUAGCCGAGUUGAGAGACUGAUCGGCCACAAUGGGACUGAGACACGGCCCAUACUCCUACGGGAGGCAGCAGUAGGGAAUCUUCCACAAUGGGCGCAAGCCUGAUGGAGCAACACCGCGUGAGUGAAGAAGGGUUUCGGCUCGUAAAGCUCUGUUGUUAAAGAAGAACACGUAUGAGAGUAACUGUUCAUACGUUGACGGUAUUUAACCAGAAAGUCACGGCUAACUACGUGCCAGCAGCCGCGGUAAUACGUAGGUGGCAAGCGUUAUCCGGAUUUAUUGGGCGUAAAGAGAGUGCAGGCGGUUUUCUAAGUCUGAUGUGAAAGCCUUCGGCUUAACCGGAGAAGUGCAUCGGAAACUGGAUAACUUGAGUGCAGAAGAGGGUAGUGGAACUCCAUGUGUAGCGGUGGAAUGCGUAGAUAUAUGGAAGAACACCAGUGGCGAAGGCGGCUACCUGGUCUGCAACUGACGCUGAGACUCGAAAGCAUGGGUAGCGAACAGGAUUAGAUACCCUGGUAGUCCAUGCCGUAAACGAUGAGUGCUAGGUGUUGGAGGGUUUCCGCCCUUCAGUGCCGGAGCUAACGCAUUAAGCACUCCGCCUGGGGAGUACGACCGCAAGGUUGAAACUCAAAGGAAUUGACGGGGGCCCGCACAAGCGGUGGAGCAUGUGGUUUAAUUCGAAGCUACGCGAAGAACCUUACCAGGUCUUGACAUCUUGCGCCAACCCUAGAGAUAGGGCGUUUCCUUCGGGAACGCAAUGACAGGUGGU